GGCAGUGGAGCCUAGUGGGUCAAGCACAGGACUGGGACUCAGGAGACCUGGGUUCCAUUCCCUGCUCUGCCA
This 72-nucleotide transfer RNA is filed under the name Chelonia mydas (Green sea turtle). It matches the Rfam family "tRNA". Rfam says of the family: Transfer RNA (tRNA) molecules are approximately 80 nucleotides in length. Their secondary structure includes four short double-helical elements and three loops (D, anti-codon, and T loops). Further hydrogen bonds mediate the characteristic L-shaped molecular structure. tRNAs have two regions of fundamental functional importance: the anti-codon, which is responsible for specific mRNA codon recognition, and the 3' end, to which the tRNAs corresponding amino acid is attached (by aminoacyl-tRNA synthetases). tRNAs cope with the degeneracy of the genetic code in two manners: having more than one tRNA (with a specific anti-codon) for a particular amino acid; and 'wobble' base-pairing, i.e. permitting non-standard base-pairing at the 3rd anti-codon position. The record is from Rfam by way of RNAcentral. Lineage: Eukaryota; Metazoa; Chordata; Testudines; Cheloniidae. RNAcentral also lists the same sequence under 2 other names.